This 27-nucleotide non-coding RNA is filed under the name Mus musculus (house mouse). Lineage: Eukaryota; Metazoa; Chordata; Mammalia; Rodentia; Muridae. The record is from RNAcentral.
UAAGUUUGAUUUUUAGGAACAUGCCAG